AGGCAAAUGGCGUAGAUGGUUAUCGCGCUGCAUUUACACUGCAGAGGUCCCGAGAUCGAUACUCGGUUUGCCUA
This is a transfer RNA of Paramecium tetraurelia, 74 nucleotides long. It matches the Rfam family "tRNA". Rfam says of the family: Transfer RNA (tRNA) molecules are approximately 80 nucleotides in length. Their secondary structure includes four short double-helical elements and three loops (D, anti-codon, and T loops). Further hydrogen bonds mediate the characteristic L-shaped molecular structure. tRNAs have two regions of fundamental functional importance: the anti-codon, which is responsible for specific mRNA codon recognition, and the 3' end, to which the tRNAs corresponding amino acid is attached (by aminoacyl-tRNA synthetases). tRNAs cope with the degeneracy of the genetic code in two manners: having more than one tRNA (with a specific anti-codon) for a particular amino acid; and 'wobble' base-pairing, i.e. permitting non-standard base-pairing at the 3rd anti-codon position. The record is from Rfam. Lineage: Eukaryota; Ciliophora; Oligohymenophorea; Peniculida; Parameciidae.